AACCGCCGUAUACCGAUCGGUACGUACGGUGGUGUGAGAGGACGGGCUAGCCGCCCUCUCCUACUCGAU
Molecule: non-coding RNA, 69 nt
Filed under: Desmospora activa DSM 45169
Lineage: Bacteria; Bacillati; Bacillota; Bacilli; Caryophanales; Thermoactinomycetaceae
Source: RNAcentral